ACCUCUUGGUUUUCAGGGAUGACUAACUACAUGAUUGACCUCCUUACAGAAGGCAGAAUAUCUCUAGGAUGGAGAUAUGGAGAUAGUUCUUUGGGUGAAGAAUACUCUUCUGGAAUCAGCACUGAAUACUGACCCAUCCCACUCAAAACCAGCUCAACUAUAAAUACUAAGCAGUGAGUGGGGAGAAGACUUAAAAGUGCUUAAGGGGUAAGAAAACAGAAACAGAUGAAGAGAAACAGGUCAGAAGCAAGGCUGGAGAACAACUUAAGGAAA
Molecule: long non-coding RNA, 273 nt
Organism: Fukomys damarensis (Damara mole-rat)
Lineage: Eukaryota; Metazoa; Chordata; Mammalia; Rodentia; Bathyergidae
Exons: 3
Source: RefSeq, a predicted model, not a curated record